CUGUCGGAACCCCGUCUGGGAUUCCCUCCGUUCAUAACUCCUGCGCGGAGGGUUGAGCUCUCGGCGUCGUCCCGAAGGGCCUUUUUGUUCUUCCGAGGUAAACGGCUAAAAAAAAAAAAAAAAAAAUGAAGAAGAAACCUCUUCUCUGGUGGCUGAGGAGGAGACGGGACGGGACGUGAUGAAUUACGUCCACGGGGAUACAUCCCGGCCUCGGUGGAAACGGCCGCCGCGGGGACCGGUCGAUAUUUGGGCCGGGCCCCGAGGGGGGCGGUGGAUCUGGCUUUCGGCCACGCCUGGCCUGACUGUUGCAUCUUCCCCUCCCCUGCCCCCAAAAUACCAUCUGGUGAAUUAGGAGGUGGCGAGGCUAGGACACCGGGCUUGCUGCGGAUGGCCUCUUCAGCUCUCUGUUAGGAAGUGCUUGGGAAAAUUGGUUCUUGCGUGGAAAGCCUAGGCUAUCAUCAAGACGAUUGCAGUUUGGAACCCAGAUGGAAGACGAUCCACCUAAAGUCGACUACAGGCGGAAAGAUCUGCCCGCCUGGUUUCAACGCAGGAAACGCAGAAGGCCCGUUGGCCCGGAGUUUGGGGCGGUGGCUGCCGGAAAGGCUAAGGAAACCCAAACGGCCGUGGCCGCCCCUUGCCGAUAUCACCGAUCGACGGGCGCUUCGGUCUGGAAAGAUGCAGGCGCGGAAGGGACGUAGUCGAAAUCUACAACGUCGUGAAGGUGCGGGCAGAGCGGACGUGAAAUUUUGUUUUGCGGAUCCCGUCGGCCCCUGAAACUUGACGGUGGGAUGUUAAAAGAAAAUAAAUAAUUCUUCACCCAGCAGUUCUGUUACUAAGGGAAGUUGUGCGGGCUCAAAAUAACAGUAAGUUAAAGAAAGCGUGAAUGGGAGAGGGGCCCGUAACGGUGGCUAGAGGGAAAGUUAGGAUAUAAAAGGAAGAGUUAGUGUUGGGUAGCCCAUCCCUAACCUUGAGGAUGAUGGAUGUCUAGGAGGGCGACCGUUUCAAGAGUUCCGUUGCCUUGGAGACUGAAUCCUGAUGCCCCAUUGAUCUACCCCAGUGUGGCACUUUGGCUGCUCAGAAGUGGAAAUAGAAUUUGUCCAGCCGGAUCCUGAAAAAGCAGGCCAAGUUCCCUGCCGGCCUCCUCUCCUCUCGGCGUUAGGACAAAGGGGAUCUCUCUCCAGGAGCCCUGAGAGAGCCACGAAGAGAGUAGAAUAAAUUUGCUCGUUGGAGCCAUU
Molecule: long non-coding RNA, 1235 nt
Organism: Ornithorhynchus anatinus (platypus)
Lineage: Eukaryota; Metazoa; Chordata; Mammalia; Monotremata; Ornithorhynchidae
Exons: 3
Source: RefSeq, a predicted model, not a curated record